CCUACGGGCGGCUGCAGUGGGGAAUAUUGGACAAUGGGCGAAAGCCUGAUCCAGCCAUGCCGCGUGUGUGAAGAAGGCCUUCGGGUUGUAAAGCACUUUCAGUGGGGAAGAAAGCCUUGAGGCUAAUACCCUCGAGGAAGGACAUUACCCACAGAAGAAGCACCGGCUAACUCCGUGCCAGCAGCCGCGGUAAUACGGAGGGUGCGAGCGUUAAUCGGAAUUACUGGGCGUAAAGCGCGCGUAGGCGGUCUGAUAAGCCGGUUGUGAAAGCCCCGGGCUCAACCUGGGAACGGCAUCCGGAACUGUCAGGCUGGAGUGUAGGAGAGGAAGGUAGAAUUCCCGGUGUAGCGGUGAAAUGCGUAGAGAUCGGGAGGAAUACCGGUGGCGAAGGCGGCCUUCUGGACUGACACUGACGCUGAGGUGCGAAAGCGUGGGUAGCAAACAGGAUUAGAUACCCUAGUAGUC
This 465-nucleotide ribosomal RNA is filed under the name Vreelandella stevensii. RNAcentral's name for it is "partial 16S ribosomal RNA". It matches the Rfam family "Bacterial small subunit ribosomal RNA", at positions 338 to 795 of the family's 1533-position model. Lineage: Bacteria; Pseudomonadati; Pseudomonadota; Gammaproteobacteria; Oceanospirillales; Halomonadaceae. The record is from RNAcentral.